This 200-nucleotide unclassified non-coding RNA is filed under the name soil metagenome. Its description in RNAcentral is "partial contains internal transcribed spacer 2 and large subunit ribosomal RNA". The record is from RNAcentral.
GAGCGUCAUUUAAACCAAUCUAGCUUUAUGCUUGGGUCUUGGGCCUUUCGCCUUUCGGCGGGCCUUAAAAUCAGUGGCGGUGCCUUUUGGCUCUAAGCGUAGUAAUACUCCUCGCUAUAGAUGUUAGAUGGUAUCUUGCCAGCGACCCCUAAUUUUUAAAGGUUGACCUCGGAUCAGGUAGGGAUACCCGCUGAACUUAA